RNAcentral lists this ribosomal RNA (584 nucleotides) under uncultured bacterium. Its description in RNAcentral is "bacterial SSU rRNA". It matches the Rfam family "Bacterial small subunit ribosomal RNA", at positions 56 to 654 of the family's 1533-position model. The record is from RNAcentral.
UGCAGUCGACGAUGAUGCCCNGCUUGCUGGGUGGAUUAGUGGCGAACGGGUGAGUAACACGUGAGUAACCUGCCCCUGACUCUGGGAUAAGCGUUGGAAACGACGUCUAAUACUGGAUAUGACUGCCGGCCGCAUGGUCUGGUGGUGGAAAGAUUUUUUGGUUGGGGAUGGACUCGCGGCCUAUCAGCUUGUUGGUGAGGUAAUGGCUCACCAAGGCGACGACGGGUAGCCGGCCUGAGAGGGUGACCGGCCACACUGGGACUGAGACACGGCCCAGACUCCUACGGGAGGCAGCAGUGGGGAAUAUUGCACAAUGGGCGAAAGCCUGAUGCAGCAACGCCGCGUGAGGGAUGACGGCCUUCGGGUUGUAAACCUCUUUUAGUAGGGAAGAAGCGAAAGUGACGGUACCUGCAGAAAAAGCACCGGCUAACUACGUGCCAGCAGCCGCGGUAAUACGUAGGGUGCAAGCGUUGUCCGGAAUUAUUGGGCGUAAAGAGCUCGUAGGCGGUUUGUCGCGUCUGCUGUGAAAUCCCGAGGCUCAACCUCGGGCUUGCAGUGGGUACGGGCAGACUAGAGUGCGGUAG